Molecule: non-coding RNA, 506 nt
Organism: Callorhinus ursinus (northern fur seal)
Lineage: Eukaryota; Metazoa; Chordata; Mammalia; Carnivora; Otariidae
Source: RefSeq, a predicted model, not a curated record
CCUGUUCAUUAUUCUUUGGAAUGUUUCAUUCCCAGCGGAAAAUUCAAGCACAAUCUAUAACUUGGGAAUCCAGCAGGUCACAGUUUAUUCUGAUGACUAAACCAAUCCAACUGUCCCUUCUGUUUAACAAACCUCAAAAUUCCCCUUCUGAUAUUUUUAUAUGAGUCAGAAUUAUUUUCCUCUUCUAUCUCCAUUACCACGAUAAUCUGACUGAGGGGUCUAUAACACAACUGCAUUCUCAAAUUUCUAAAUAACAAAAAAAGUAACUCUCAGGAAUAUUUUCAAAUAAAAUUAGUAACGGGGACAGGGGAAAAGUAGGGACAGAAUAAAUCAGAGAGCCCUGGUAAAUUCUGUUAUUCAUUUCAAAAUAAAAAUUGAGGUGGGAAGGGACAACAAAAAGGAGCCCACUUUUCCAUCAUAAAGUUCUGUUUUUAAACAAUGGGAGUAUUUGGAGACUCUAUAAUUAGACUGAGUCAUGUGAAAUCUUGGAAUGGGGAGUAAGAAUU